RNAcentral lists this ribosomal RNA (468 nucleotides) under uncultured bacterium. Its description in RNAcentral is "partial 16S ribosomal RNA". It matches the Rfam family "Bacterial small subunit ribosomal RNA", at positions 28 to 507 of the family's 1533-position model. The record is from RNAcentral.
GACGAACGCUGGCGGCGUGCUUAACACAUGCAAGUCGAACGGAAAGGCCCUGCUUUUGUGGGGUGCUCGAGUGGCGAACGGGUGAGUAACACGUGAGUAACCUGCCCUUGACUUGGGGAUAACUUCAGGAAACUGGGGCUAUUACCGGAUAGGAGCUCUUGCUGCAUGGUGGGGGUUGGAAAGUUUCGGCGGUUGGGGAUGGACUCGCGGCUUAUCAGCUUGUUGGUGGGGUAGUGGCUUACCAAGGCUUUGACGGGUAGCCGGCCUGAGAGGGUGACCGGCCACAUUGGGACUGAGAUACGGCCCAGACUCCUACGGGAGGCAGCAGUGGGGAAUAUUGCACAAUGGGCGGAAGCCUGAUGCAGCAACGCCGCGUGCGGGAUGACGGCCUUCGGGUUGUAAACCGCUUUCGCCUGUGACGAAGCGUGAGUGACGGUAAUGGGUAAAGAAGCACCGGCUAACUACGUG